Long non-coding RNA from Macrobrachium nipponense, 518 nucleotides. RefSeq lists it as uncharacterized. The record is from RefSeq and is a predicted model, not a curated record. NCBI's taxonomy places the organism in Eukaryota, Metazoa, Arthropoda, Malacostraca, Decapoda, Palaemonidae. The transcript has 2 exons.
ACCCAGUGCGGAGCCUCACCUACGGGUUGCUCCCCCUUGCCGGCCUACGUGCCCCACGUGGCUAGCAUUGGACCCUUACCUGACGCCCUUGGAGAAGUCCCUUCCUUCAUCUGCACGUUUACGGAGCCAUAUCUCAGCAAGAAAGGAGGCUCAAGAAUGUCUCUAUCAAUCAUUGUGGAGAAAACAUUCUGUUUGCGACUAUCUGACGACUCGGCUACUACCAAAAUGAACCCAGAUUGCACAAGCCAGAAACCAAUCCGCAUAUGUUAAUUCCGACAGGGAGCUUGGGCUCCACUGGUUGAUAAUUGUUCAUGGACUUGCAACAUAAUCAACUGAGUAGAAAAAAGAAAAUCUUGAAGAGUCGUUGUGCUUUUCUACGACGCAGCCUACACUCCUCUCCAGGAUAACUGGUUAGACCCCAAAGACCAGAGAUGUCGGACGAAACAUCGUUCUCAGUGUAUUCGUUCCCCCAAAAGGGCUGACCUCCAGUGCUUUGUAUAGAAAAAAAGUGCAUUUUA